ACCACCCUCUGCUUCUUUGGUGCUGGCAGUGAUUGGCCGUGGCCAUGAUGUCAUCGCCUAAUCCAAACAGAAGGGGGGUUGGUGCUGGCUGGCGUCCCCAUGCUGAGUGCAGCAGUAAAUUUCAUUUCAAGGCUAUGAUUAGGACGGUGCCCAAGAAUUUCCUUUCUCUCUCCUUCCCUCUCCCCAUCCUAUUUUUCUUCCUGUUCUCCUGCCUCUCCUUCCCUCCCCUCCUCUCCCCUGGCCCCCUCUUCUCCGGGAUGCUGAAGGUUCGCCCGGUGACCAGCACCGGUCCAGGCUCUUGCCGCCUUCCGUGAGGCUCCAUGACCAGCCCUGGCAUGUACGGGCUCGGUCCCAGCCCCGAGACGGCACCCAGGGAGUACGGGGUGAGAAUCCCUAGGGGCGCUCAUUCAACCUUGAGCUGAAACGCCAGAACAACAGAGAGAGCAGGGGUGGGGUGGCCCUGGUCAUCAACGAAAAGAUCGGAAGACAGCAGAGCCGUGAGAGGCAAGGAGAAACGCAGCUCCUUAGAAAGUUAUGGCUCAUUUGUUCGUUCAUCGAUUCAGUAAGGAUGUGUUGGGCACCCGCCAUCUGCCAGGCCUGUGCAGGUGCCGGGCGCCCAGAGGGAACAGACGUGGCCCGGUUCUUCCUCCAGCAGCAACCAGCCGUUAGCAGAAACGCGGACAGAAACAAGUACAAGCAGCAUACUCACAUGGAGGGAGAGCCACCCAUCCCCAGCUUCCAGAACCAUCAGCUCAUCAGCACCGGCCCCAGUGGGAUCUUCUGAAGCAAAUCCCAGAUGUUGUAGUUCCUGGCCAUAUGCCCAAUCAGGGUCCACUGAACUAGGCUGCCCAGUGACUUCUGCUUGUGACCCAGAAGGCCUCUCUGCCCUGAACCCCCUCCCUUGGACACCAGGGUGGGAGGAGACCCGGGAAAGCACUUUCUUCAAGAGCUCAAGGCCCUUGGGAAUGAGCAGAAAAAGGGGCUUUCCAGCCAGAGGGAGGGACAAGAGGAGGACGCCCUCCUCCUGGAGGCGGGUGAGGAAGGCUCUUCCCACCUGGGGCAGCCCAGGUGCCUUAGUGUAACCGUCUGGAUCUUUGGGGUUUAGGGAAUAAACAUCCAGGUGGGAUGUUUAGCCAAAGUGGUCUUUAUUGGAAGGAAGCAGAGAACGUGGUGAGACUGACAGGUGCAGCUGUGCAUCCGGGACCUGAGAGCCCCCAGGGCUCCUUCCCCCUUCCUCCUCUUGCUCCCCUGGGUGACUCAGCUCGGCCCCUCGCCUCUCCCUGGCUCUCCUGGUCCGGCUGCUCCCCUACAACCUGCCGGCCCUUUGGUUCAAAGCCUGUCAUCCAGUUCAUUCUCUGCUAGGGCUCCAUUCUUAUCAGCGUGGAUCUGACCGGCCAGCCAGGGUCAGGCAGCUGGACAGGGCCUAGAUCUGAAGGACAGGCCUGCUCAGAAGGGGAGUGGGAGCAGCCCCUCCAAGAGGGAGGGAAGGCAGGGCCCCCACAAGGAGACACUCGGGCGGGGAGGGGGACAUGAGGCCCUUGACUCCCUGCCUGGGAGGCCCUCAUACCCUUGAACCCUGUGGCAGAGGGAGAAGGCAUUCAGGGGGUGGGCCUCUGGAAGGCCAGACGCCAACCCCCUGGCAUGGUGGCCUGGGAGAGGUUUGGUCUGCCAGAAGGGCGCCAUGGGGCCUUGGGACGUCUCAGAACCUGAUGGGGGAGAGAACCUUACUCAAGCUGGAUGAGGUCCAAACCCUGGCCUUGCCCGUGGCCACAGCCCCUGGGGCAGCUGUGGAGGCCAGCAGCUGGCCCAGGCUCGGACGUCGCCUGAAAGGCAUGUCCGGGGCUGCUACUCCCUAAUCGGCUGCCAAAGAAAAUAUUUUCUGCAGGUUCCUUGUGAGCCGAGAAUGAAAACACAGCACCCAGCAGG
This is a long non-coding RNA of Neofelis nebulosa (Clouded leopard), 1926 nucleotides long. RefSeq lists it as uncharacterized. NCBI's taxonomy places the organism in Eukaryota, Metazoa, Chordata, Mammalia, Carnivora, Felidae. The transcript has 4 exons. The record is from RefSeq and is a predicted model, not a curated record.